Long non-coding RNA from Ruditapes philippinarum (Manila clam), 743 nucleotides. RefSeq lists it as uncharacterized. Lineage: Eukaryota; Metazoa; Mollusca; Bivalvia; Venerida; Veneridae. The record is from RefSeq and is a predicted model, not a curated record. The transcript is spliced from 2 exons.
GCCGCGUCACGACAAAACCAACAUAAUGGGUUUGCGACCAGCAUGGAUCCAGACCAGCCUGCGCAUCCGCGCAGUCUGAUCAGGAUCCAUGCUGUUCGCUUACCAACUCUUUUACAAGUAGAGAAACUGAUAGCGAACAGCAUGGAUCCUGAUCAGACUGCGCGGAUGCGCAGGCUGGUCUGGAUCCAUGUUGGUCGCAAACGCACUAUGUUGGUUUUGUCGUGACGCGGCUCAAAUGGAACCUACUUUCAUUAAUUAGCUAUAUGUAUUUACAAAGAUAUAUCGCAAUCUUUGUCUUAUCUCAUUUUCAGGCUUGCCACAACAAUGUUUACUUACCAAAGUUUAGCGUUUGUGUUCUUGUUAGCGUUUGCUGCAAUUUCUAAAACGGACGGAUGUUCGUCAAAUGUUGACUGUCCACAUGGUCAGUGCUGCGGAAGUAUGCUGCCAGAUUUGCUGGGUCUACUUCAAUCGUGUCAAGUCUACAGCAAGGAGGGUGAGGGAUGUCACGGUUCACUGAAUUGGUGCCAGCUGCGAUUGUGAGCCCGGGUCUCACAUGUGUAGAACAUACGGGUAUUUUUGCAAUCUUGCACACCAGCACAGGGGUUUGCACUGCUCAAGGAGGAACUACCAAUCCUUUACCCGAGAUAUUUGGAAAAUAAGCAUGAAAUUACUGAUGUCUUUUUUAACCUGAACUUACAACCAUUCAAUAAAAUAGAAAUUGCGAUUAAAGUAAAUAAAACUUG